GGCUUAACACAUGCAAGUCGAGGGGUAACAGAGAAAGCUUGCUUUCUGCUGACGACCGGCGCACGGGUGCGUAACGCGUAUGCAACCUACCUUAUACUGGGGAAUAGCCCGAAGAAAUUCGGAUUAAUGCCCCAUAGUAUUGUCGAUUCGCAUGUUUUGACAAUUAAAGAUUACGGUAUAAGAUGGGCAUGCGUCCCAUUAGCUAGAUGGUAAGGUAACGGCUUACCAUGGCAACGAUGGGUAGGGGGCCUGAGAGGGUGAUCCCCCACACUGGUACUGAGACACGGACCAGACUCCUACGGGAGGCAGCAGUGAGGAAUAUUGGUCAAUGGAGGCAACUCUGAACCAGCCAUGCCGCGUGCAGGAAGACGGUCCUAUGGAUUGUAAACUGCUUUUAUUUGGGAAUAAACCUGGGUACGUGUACCCAGCUGAAUGUACCAAACGAAUAAGCACCGGCUAACUCCGUGCCAGCAGCCGCGGUAAUACGGAGGAUCCAAGCGUUAUCCGGAAUCAUUGGGUUUAAAGGGUCCGCAGGCGGAUUUAUAAGUCAGUGGUGAAAGCCUACAGCUUAACUGUAGAACUGCCAUUGAUACUGUAAGUCUUGAAUUCGGUCGAAGUGGGCGGAAUAUGUCAUGUAGCGGUGAAAUGCUUAGAUAUGACAUAGAACACCGAUAGCGAAGGCAGCUCACUAGGCCUGGAUUGACGCUCAGGGACGAAAGCGUGGGGAGCGAACAGGAUUAGAUACCCUGGUAGUCCACGCCGUAAACUAUCAAUACUCGUUUUCGGCGAUAUACAGUCGGAGACUAAGCGAAAGUGAUAAGUAUUGCACCUGGGGAGUACGAUCGCAAGGUUGAAACUCAAAGGAAUUGACGGGGGCCCGCACAAGCGG
Molecule: ribosomal RNA, 889 nt
Filed under: Strombidinopsis acuminata
Lineage: Eukaryota; Ciliophora; Spirotrichea; Choreotrichida; Strombidinopsidae
Description: partial Bacterial small subunit ribosomal RNA
Rfam family: Bacterial small subunit ribosomal RNA
Source: RNAcentral